ACUCCUGUAGCCCAAUUGGAAGAGGCGGCUGUCUCAAAACCAGUCACGUGUGGGUUCGACUCCCGCCAGGAGUACCA
RNAcentral lists this transfer RNA (77 nucleotides) under Oscillatoria sp. FACHB-1407. RNAcentral's name for it is "tRNA-Leu". It matches the Rfam family "tRNA". From Rfam's summary of the family: Transfer RNA (tRNA) molecules are approximately 80 nucleotides in length. Their secondary structure includes four short double-helical elements and three loops (D, anti-codon, and T loops). Lineage: Bacteria; Bacillati; Cyanobacteriota; Cyanophyceae; Oscillatoriales; Oscillatoriaceae. The record is from RNAcentral.